Long non-coding RNA from Dendroctonus ponderosae (mountain pine beetle), 1220 nucleotides. RefSeq lists it as uncharacterized. Lineage: Eukaryota; Metazoa; Arthropoda; Insecta; Coleoptera; Curculionidae. The record is from RefSeq and is a predicted model, not a curated record. The transcript has 2 exons.
CAACCUUCGUUGCCUGGAAACCAUCCCUGGUGACGUGUUUCCGGAUACACAUAAACCUGAUCGACCAAUCGCUUGUCGACUCUUUGAAUACAAGAUGUGUACCAUGGCAACGAGUAAAUACAAACACAUCAACUUUGAAAGCCGUAUUUAUUCCAAUUGAAGUUUUAAAUGAACCAGCAGAGUUUUUCUCUCUCAGAGCUUUCGGUCUCUUUCUUUGCAAUGUUUGUUGAAUUAUCCCAAAGCUUAUGUUGCCAUGUUGUAACAUUUAUAGCAUGUAAUGCCAAAAUAGUGAUUUGGUUUCGUUAUCUGAUCCAUUGAGGAAAAACCACACAUGGUGUUGACUAAUUGGGAGUUAAUAGUUAGCGGCAACGCUGCUUGCGGCAAUCUUUAACCUUACUUAUGCCUUAUUUUGACGAUUGACAUGCGUUUGACUUUCUGGUUUGCUACAAAGAUAAAUAUUAAUUUAUCUAUUUUUUGUUUGAGUUUAUUGAGUUUUGUGAUUUGUGGUUUGAUAUCGAAUGCGUGACUGUGUUCGAUUGUUGUUAGUUCUUAGUUUGUAGCGUGUUUUUAGUUUGUGUUGGGUUCUAUUCGGCAUGCUUUGUUUAUGUUGCAUGGCUUUUGUUCUUGGGGUUUUCUUCUGUAUAAUGCCAGGAAAGUUGUACAGAUGCUAAUAUGGAGAGAAUUUGUCGCAAAGUUUCGAUCUUUCUUGCGUUUGUGUCCGCAUCGGCGGCUACUUUCCAUAAACUGCGGCCGAAUAAAAUCUACAAAACCGUGGUGGAACCAUUUGUGGAUUACGCCCUAAAGGGCUUAUUUACUGGAAGUGUUGUCGACCCAAUCGGCCAGCUAUUCACUGGAGGAGGAAAAAAGUCCAAACACCCCAAAGGCAAACAUUUUCGUUACUCCUUCGGCCCUUAUCAGGAUUAUCACCAUCAGGAGCCGUACUUCCAUCAUGAACCCGAUGUAUAUUUUCAUCAUCAUCAUCAGGCUCUUUAUCCUCCUCCUUGUGCUCAACAUGUGGAAUUCCAUCCACAUCAUGUUCCUCAUGCGGCUGUUCCGUUUUAUCCACCUGCGGAUGAGCAUUAUGGCGGGUUUGAUUAUGGUAGUGGACAUUUCGAUGGUGCUUUUGAACAUUACAAGGAUUUUCAGUUCGAUUGAAACUUUGGUUUAGUUUAUUCAUGUAUUUCUAGUUGAUUAUUUGAUUAAAGAGUAAAGUGAGUGAA